Molecule: RNA transcript, 1464 nt
Organism: Frieseomelitta varia
Lineage: Eukaryota; Metazoa; Arthropoda; Insecta; Hymenoptera; Apidae
Gene: Rpb8
Gene name: DNA-directed RNA polymerases I, II, and III subunit RPABC3-like
Exons: 2
Source: RefSeq, a predicted model, not a curated record
GGUGUUACAGGGUCGUCUGUGGAUGUUGUGUGCGCGGGUGUCAAGGGGAACGAGAAAGAAGAGGUAGAGAAGGUGCCCUCCUAGUGAUGACGACCCCCUCUCCAGUCAACUAGCGGCGAGUGUGGAGUGUCGAAGAAGGAGAAUGAGAGAGAGAGAGAGAGAGAAAGAGAAAGAGAAAGAGAAAGAAAGAGACAGUGUGCACGAGUGAGGUAGAGGGAGAAGGUUUAGGUGUCUAGGAGAGGAGCAAAGGAUAGAGAGAGAGAGAGAGAGAGAGAGAGAGCGAGUUAGCGUUGUGGAGGGACACGAGAGGAGAGGUGGCACGACAGGGACAAACGAGCCACGACCGAGAAAACGACGCAGGAGCGCGCAGGUGCGCUUUCCUCGCGCGAUACGUUGUUGUUUUACGAGACAACGGGAGAAGCCGACCGCGCGCGCGAGAUACUUGAAGGCGCGUUUACAUUGCGAGUCAGCCUGCGUGAUCACAAAUAUCUCGUCCUUUUGUUUCCCUUUCCCUUUGUUCGUUCGGAUUCCUUAUCACUUUUCUUUUCUCUUUCUUUCUUUCUUUCUUUCUUUUUUUAACCCUACGUAUACUGUCUACCUCGUUUUUCAGUUUGACUCGUGUGUACUCUGUCUUUCUUUCGACUCGAUCGUAGUAACGCGUUUUCCCCGACUGGUAUACUUUUGGUAUCGCGUGGUGAUGUGCCGUAGACGUUAUUACUCUCGGCGUUUAAUGUGUUGAUCGCUGUCGUUGUCGCAUCACGGGGUGGUGUCGCGAGAGAGAGCGAGAUCAUAUCACGAUAGCGUGUCAGUUUUCGCGUUACGUUGCGUAUGCACCUCUCUUUAGUCCGCUUCCCGUCGUAGCCGCGGUGUGUUGCGUGUGCCCGCUGCGCGCUGUUGUGGUCGCCGUGGCUGGUGUGUCUCGUGUGUCCCGUGUGUCCCGUUGCUGCACCGGUCGAGCACAGUAACGAUGACGAAAGUGUGAACUCUCUGCAGCGGGUAGAGUGGUGAUCUGCCUACGUAUCCUUCGGAGGAUUGCUGAUGAGGUUACAGGGUGACGCAAACAAUCUACACGGUUUCGAGAUCGAUCAGCACAUGUAUCUACUGAUGAAAAAAUUAGCGUUCUAACUGCGCCAGCACACGUCGCAAUUAUUGAUCUAGGAAAUGUUUGAAUAUUAAAUGUAUAUAUAUAUAUUCUUUUUUAUAUAUUGGAUAGUGUUUACCACUUGUCAAUUCAAAAUGAUUUAAAUAUGAUCAAACUUAAUAUGAUCAACCUUAGAGGUCAUUAAUGAACUGCACGGAAAAAAAUGUACAUUGUAAUAAUUGAGAUAAAGGUGAAAAGUUAUUCUGUUCUUCGGCUGAUUCGUCACUAUUAUUCAUACUUUCCAGCUCAUUAAUCAUUACUUAAGCAUUGUUACUGCCACUACGAUGUUCAGAUACAUGCUGAUCAAUAAACGUAUUUUUCCA